Molecule: ribosomal RNA, 437 nt
Filed under: uncultured bacterium
Lineage: Bacteria
Description: bacterial SSU rRNA
Rfam family: Bacterial small subunit ribosomal RNA
Source: RNAcentral
UACGGGAGGCAGCAGUGGGGAAUAUUGGACAAUGGGCGAAAGCCUGAUCCAGCCAUGCCGCAUGAGUGAAGAAGGCCUUCGGGUUGUAAAGCUCUUUUAGUGAGAAAGAUAAUGACGGUACUCACAGAAGAAGUCCUGGCUAACUCCGUGCCAGCAGCCGCGGUAAUACGGAGAGGGCUAGCGUUAUUCGGAAUUAUUGGGCGUAAAGAGCGCGUAGGCUGAUUAGUAAGUUAAAACGUGAAAUCCCAAAGCUUAACUUUGGAAUUGCUUUUUAAAACUGCUAGUCUAGAGAUUGAAAGAGGAUAGAGGAAUUCCUAGUGUAGAGGUGAAAUUCGUAAAUAUUAGGAGGAACACCAGUGGCGAAGGCGUCUAUCUGGUUCAAAUCUGACGCUGAGGCGCGAAGGCUGGGGAGCAAACGAGGGAUUACGGAUACCCGU